AAAAUUAAAGGUUUAAUCUGCCCAAUGAUAUUUGAAUGGCCGCGGUAACUUGACCGUGCAAAGGUAGCAUAAUUAUUAGUCUUUUAAUUGAAGGCUUGAAUGAAAGAUUGGAUGAAAAAUAAACUUUAUUAACAAGAAUUAUUUAAUUUAUUAUUUAAGUAAAAAUUCUUAAAUAUAUAAGUGGGACGAGAAGACCCUAUAGAGUUUUAUUUUUAUUUGUAUUAUAAGAUUUAAGAAUAAAUAUUUUUAUAGUUUAAAUAAAUUUUUUAUUGGGGUGAUAUUAAAAAUUAUUAAACUUUUAAUUAUUAUAACAUUAAUAUAUGUGUUAUUGAUCCAAAAAUAUUUUGAUUAUAAGAUAUAAUUACCUUAGGGAUAACAGCGUUAUUAAUUUGAAGAGUUCAAAUCGAUAAAUUAGUUUGCGACCUCGAUGUUGGAUUAAGAAUAAAUUUUGGAGUAGUGUUUAAAAUUAUAGGUCUGUUCGACCUUUGAAUUCUUACG
Molecule: ribosomal RNA, 498 nt
Filed under: Platypleura techowi
Lineage: Eukaryota; Metazoa; Arthropoda; Insecta; Hemiptera; Cicadidae
Description: partial 16S ribosomal RNA
Rfam family: Bacterial large subunit ribosomal RNA (bases 372-498)
Source: RNAcentral